This 556-nucleotide long non-coding RNA is filed under the name Dromaius novaehollandiae (emu). RNAcentral's name for it is "lncRNA (ENSDNVG00000009203.1)". The record is from RNAcentral. Lineage: Eukaryota; Metazoa; Chordata; Aves; Casuariiformes; Dromaiidae.
CUUUAUUCAAUAACGCGUUGGUAUCUAGCCAGGAAAAUAUUAUUUUAUCUCUUUAACAGAUGUGCUCUGAGCUGUUUGGGGCCUCCAAGUGAUAGAUCUUCCCCGAGUCUUGCAGGCGUUUGCCAUUACAGUGCACGGAAGGCCAGUGCUGGCAUCUAUCCUGAGCUGAUGGGAGUCGCGGAGAUGUAAUGACGCUGUUGACACCGGGCGCUGGAUGUACGGAGCAGCUCGCCUCUGCAGGCUUUUGCCUCGGAACCUUUUGCUUUAGGUUCUAAUCAGCAAAAAUGGGUGACUAAAUAUAGUUACUACUGAUUGUCUGGCACUCUGAAGCAGUUGUUAAGGACAGGAGUAAAGCCUGUCAAGCAGUGGAGAGCGAGAAUCCAGCGACCCUCCCCAAGGGAUGCUGUGUUUAAGUUCCUGGGAAAGACACAGGGAUGCUGAAUGAGGCCAGGAGAGAUGAGGCAAGAAGAGCUCCCAGAUGCAUUUUCUGUCGCGGUGCUGGAGCCRCCCCCCAUCAUCGGUGCACGCGGUGCCGUCACGCUGUCCUGGCACCGGG